This 923-nucleotide long non-coding RNA is filed under the name Rattus norvegicus (Norway rat). RNAcentral's name for it is "long non-coding RNA NONRATT020205". The record is from RNAcentral. Lineage: Eukaryota; Metazoa; Chordata; Mammalia; Rodentia; Muridae.
UUUAGCCAAUGUCCAUGUGUCGUUAGUUGUGGCAAAUGUUCGGGGUAAAGAUUUAACAAAAGAAGCUGAGCGGAGGGGGUAUAGAAACUCUCACCAAAAUCUUUGCAACCUUCGGCUGCUCAUGGAGCAACUACUUUAAGCACUGAGCCAUUUCACAAGGAGCCCUUCCACGUAUCCCGUGAGUGUUUAAAACAACUGAAGAAGGUUCUUGGAACACCAAACGAGGACACGUGGCCUGGAGUUCAUUCUUUACCACAUUUUAAGCCAGAACGAUUUACCGUGUACAGCUCUAAAAGCCUUAGACAAGCAUGGAAUAAGCUCAGCUAUGUAAAUCACGCCGAGGACCUGGCCUCCAAGCUUCUACAGUGUUCCCCAAAGAACAGGCUGUCAGCACAGGCCGCCUUGAGCCACGAGUAUUUCAGCGAUCUGCCCCCGCGGCUAUGGGAGCUGACCGAUAUGUCUUCUAUUUUUACUGUCCCAAAUGUGAGAUUGCAACCCGAAGCUGGAGAGAGCAUGAGGGCCUUUGGAAAAAACAAUAGUUACGGGAAAAGUCUAUCGAACAGCAAGCACUGACGAGCCCAGCAUCCUCGGGAGAGCACAGGAUUAAGUCGUCAUCAUUCUGGGAAGAAAAAGAGGAAGAAGAAAAAUAAAUAAAUAAAUAAAUACAUAAAUAAAUAAAUAAAUACCACUAAUAAAGUGGUCACCCGUGCAAGGGAUCCCUGGAUCGGUUCUCUUCUGCUCCCUGCAGUGGAUUUCACUGACAGGAAAACUGAAGCUGGAAGACCCCGUUUCCUCUGCAGUUCAUUUAAAACCUUGCACGCAUUUGGAUACCUUGUGAUUUCCAAGAACGUACGUGAAGAUUAAGCUUCGCUUACUGAUACGUGGCAUGUAUCCCUUUCGGUCUUUUGUGUCUGAUUCCGUUU